UACGUAGGUGGCAAGCGUUGUCCGGAUUUAUUGGGUUUAAAGGGUGCGUAGGCGGUUCUAUAAGUCAGUGGUGAAAUACGGCAGCUCAACUGUCGAGGUGCCAUUGAUACUGAAGAACUUGAGUACAGACGAGGUAGGCGGAAUUGACGGUGUAGCGGUGAAAUGCUUAGAUAUCGUCAAGAACACCGAUAGCGAAGGCAGCUUACUAGGCUGUAACUGACGCUGAGGCACGAAAGUGUGGGGAUCAAACAGG
Molecule: ribosomal RNA, 253 nt
Filed under: uncultured bacterium
Lineage: Bacteria
Description: partial 16S ribosomal RNA
Rfam family: Bacterial small subunit ribosomal RNA
Source: RNAcentral